RNAcentral lists this ribosomal RNA (254 nucleotides) under uncultured bacterium. RNAcentral's name for it is "partial 16S ribosomal RNA". It matches the Rfam family "Bacterial small subunit ribosomal RNA", at positions 524 to 776 of the family's 1533-position model. The record is from RNAcentral.
CACGUAGGCCCCAAGCGUUGUCCGGAUUUAUUGGGCGUAAAGAGCUCGUAGGCGGUUCAGUAAGUCGGGUGUGAAAACUUUGGGCUUAACCCAAAGCGUGCAUCCGAUACUGCUGUGACUUGAGUUCGGUAGGGGAGUGGGGAAUUCCUAGUGUAGCGGUGAAAUGCGCAGAUAUUAGGAGGAACACCGGUGGCGAAGGCGCCACUCUGGGCCGAAACUGACGCUGAGGAGCGAAAGCAUGGGUAGCAAACAGG